Molecule: long non-coding RNA, 281 nt
Organism: Vidua macroura (Pin-tailed whydah)
Lineage: Eukaryota; Metazoa; Chordata; Aves; Passeriformes; Viduidae
Exons: 3
Source: RefSeq, a predicted model, not a curated record
UGGUAAUCUACAUAACAUUUUGCUUUCCUAAGUGGCUAGCCAGCCUGAACUUGAAGAAUUGGCAUGCUGAACCAUCAGUAUCAGAUUAAUGGGACCGAGAAAUCCAAGAAAGAAAGUGGAGGCUGGAGUGAUGCUGAUUGCACUGGAAGCUUAGAUAUUGAAAAGAUAAAGAACCCAUUUUUUCCUCACACUAUGCUUGGAAUAACUCACUGGUAUUGAACACUCUCCAUACCUUAGCUCUUUUACUGUCCAGCUGGCCUGUAACAUUGCUGACAACACUC